CUUGGCUAGCGUGACUGUGUGAGUUUCUUUCUAAGAAUAACACGUAACUUUAUUGAAUACCACGAAUCAUUACAUAAAGUUUUAUGGAUGCAUUCGGGGUACGGAACCUGAAAAUAGAAAAAAACAAACUUAUCUGUAGAACGAAAGCUAACACAUGUACCAGCCACAUGAAAGAAAGAUAUUUUUUAUAGAAUGCAACCUAACGGUUGGAUCAUCGAUUAAAGAAAAAUGAACAAAAGAUACGAAGAAAUUGAACAAAAAUGCACGGGUGGGCUGGACAUUAAAUGUUCUGAACAACCACACCCACAUAGCUACGAUCUAACACAGAAGAAUUCAGGCUGAGAAGCUUAUCGGAAGCUUCGUCCAUCGCUUCGCAAUAGCUUUGGCAAAUUAACGAUUCACCAUGUCAGAAAAAAAAAGUUCAUUGCAAGCAGUAACACAAACGCCUUGGUGGUUCUUGGACCCUAUUUGUUUGGGCUUUUGAUUUAGUUUUUGAUGGUUCUAACCCUCUAAAAAGCACGUCACCCGUUUACACAUGAAGCUAAGAAGCACAUCCGGAGGUGCUUCCCUUCUCAGCUCACGUGUAAACGAAAAAAGUGCUUUUUAGAAAGUUAGAAGCAUAAAAAACCGAAACAGAAGCCCAAACAAAACGGACCUCGAUAACAUCCUCGAUUCCCAUCUGUCAAGAGGAAUAAAACAAAGCCACAAAGACGUAUGGAUGCCUUUGGGAAUCAAAAGGGCAUGGCGUUCAGAUCAUGACUUUUUUUUUAUGUUGUGAGUUGAGCCCAUUAACACUAACAUUGACUUUUUUAAAACCUUUGUGUCUAGAGAUGAAGUUUGAAUUUGGAUGUAAAAUUUUGUGACACAUGGAUGGGUAUGACAAUGAUAUUGUGAACAAUUAGUAACUUUUUUUAUGAGUUUUUAGUUUAGCAUUUUUAGGGGUUUAGCGAAGUAUACAGCUUUUAGGUGGUGUUUUGGGUCGGUUAUGCCUGUGCACUAGUUGUAACCAUUUUUUGAGCGAAAGUUGUAAGAGCAUCUCCAGCCGACCCCCUAAAUACCCCCCAAACGUCAAAUAAAGGGUGUUGGCGCUGAAAAAUCCAACCAGCCACUCCACUAAAUCCAAAAAGU
This 1128-nucleotide long non-coding RNA is filed under the name Brachypodium distachyon (stiff brome). RNAcentral describes it as "long non-coding RNA (BDIS_LNC002578)". Lineage: Eukaryota; Viridiplantae; Streptophyta; Magnoliopsida; Poales; Poaceae. The record is from RNAcentral.